This 245-nucleotide ribosomal RNA is filed under the name uncultured Algoriphagus sp. RNAcentral describes it as "partial 16S ribosomal RNA". It matches the Rfam family "Bacterial small subunit ribosomal RNA", at positions 524 to 768 of the family's 1533-position model. Lineage: Bacteria; Pseudomonadati; Bacteroidota; Cytophagia; Cytophagales; Cyclobacteriaceae. The record is from RNAcentral.
UACGGAGGGUGCAAGCGUUGUCCGGAUUUAUUGGGUUUAAAGGGUGCGUAGGCGGCUGUUUAAGUCAGCGGUGAAAGACUCCGGCUCAACCGGGGCAGUGCCGUUGAUACUGGACAGCUUGAGUGCUGCAGGGGUACAUGGAAUUGAUGAUGUAGCGGUGAAAUGCAUAGAUAUCAUCAGGAACACCGAUAGCGAAGGCAUUGUACUGGGCAGCAACUGACGCUGAGGCACGAAAGUGUGGGGAU